Molecule: transfer RNA, 69 nt
Filed under: Solenopsis substituta
Lineage: Eukaryota; Metazoa; Arthropoda; Insecta; Hymenoptera; Formicidae
Description: tRNA-Pro
Source: RNAcentral
CAAAAAAUAGUUUAAAUAGAAUAUUAAUUUUGGAGAUUAAAGGUAUGAAAUUAAAAAUUAUUUUUUUGA